GACGAACGCUGGCGGCGUGCUUAACACAUGCCAGUCGAACGGAAAGGCCCUGCUUUUGUGGGGUGCUCGAGUGGCGAACGGGUGAGUAACACGUGAGUAACCUGCCCUUGACUUUGGGAUAACUUCAGGAAACUGGGGCUAAUACCGGAUAGGAGCUCCUGCUGCAUGGUGGGGGUUGGAAAGUUUCGGCGGUUGGGGAUGGACUCGCGGCUUAUCAGCUUGUUGGUGGGGUAGUGGCUUACCAAGGCUUUGACGGGUAGCCGGCCUGAGAGGGUGACCGGCCACAUUGGGACUUAGAUACGGCCCAGACUCCUACGGGAGGCAGCAGUGGGGAAUAUUGCACAAUGGGCGGAAGCCUGAUGCAGCAACGCCGCGUGCGGGAUGACGGCCUUCGGGUUGUAAACCGCUUUCGCCUGUGACGAAGCGUGAGUGACGGUAAUGGGUAAAGAAGCACCGGCUAACUACGUG
RNAcentral lists this ribosomal RNA (468 nucleotides) under uncultured bacterium. RNAcentral describes it as "partial 16S ribosomal RNA". It matches the Rfam family "Bacterial small subunit ribosomal RNA", at positions 28 to 507 of the family's 1533-position model. The record is from RNAcentral.